ACGUGGCUGGCUCAGUCGGUAGAGCAUGUGACUCUUAAUCCUAGGGCUGUGAGGUCAAGCCCCACGUUGGGUG
This 73-nucleotide transfer RNA is filed under the name Ailuropoda melanoleuca (giant panda). It matches the Rfam family "tRNA". Rfam says of the family: Transfer RNA (tRNA) molecules are approximately 80 nucleotides in length. Lineage: Eukaryota; Metazoa; Chordata; Mammalia; Carnivora; Ursidae. The record is from Rfam by way of RNAcentral.